This 467-nucleotide ribosomal RNA is filed under the name uncultured soil bacterium. RNAcentral's name for it is "bacterial SSU rRNA". It matches the Rfam family "Bacterial small subunit ribosomal RNA", at positions 26 to 506 of the family's 1533-position model. The record is from RNAcentral.
AGGACGAACGCUGGCGGCGUGCUUAACACAUGCAAGUCGAACGAGGUCCAACCCGUCGCAAGACGGGGGAAGACCUAGUGGCGAACGGGUGAGUAACACGUGAGGAACGUGCCCCGGAGACCGGGAUAACAGCGGGAAACCGCUGCUAAUACCGGAUACCUUCCUUUGAUCGCAUGAUCAGUUGAAGAAAUGGAUUCCGCUCCGGGAGCGCCUCGCGGUCUAUCAGCUUGUUGGUGGGGUAACGCCUACCAAGGCGACGACGGAUAGCUGGUCUGAGAGGACGAUCAGCCACACUGGGACUGAGACACGGCCCAGACUCCUACGGGAGCAGCAGUGGGAAUCUGCCAAUGGCGAAAGCCUGAGGCAGCAACGCCGCGUGUGGGAUGGAAGGCCCGUUGGGUUAGUAAACCACUUUCAGCGAGGACGAAAAGUGACGUACCUAGCGAAGAAGAACGCCCCGACCGAAC